GGAGAGGUGCUGGAGCGGCCGAACAGGCACGCCUGGAAAGCGUGUGAUGGACAAAAUCCGUCCAAGGGUUCGAAUCCCUUCCUCUCCG
This 88-nucleotide transfer RNA is filed under the name bacterium. Its description in RNAcentral is "tRNA-Ser". It matches the Rfam family "tRNA". Rfam says of the family: Transfer RNA (tRNA) molecules are approximately 80 nucleotides in length. Their secondary structure includes four short double-helical elements and three loops (D, anti-codon, and T loops). The record is from RNAcentral.